This is a non-coding RNA of Xylariales sp. AK1849, 91 nucleotides long. Lineage: Eukaryota; Fungi; Ascomycota; Sordariomycetes; Xylariales. The record is from the annotation of a GenBank genome assembly.
GGUCUCGUGGCGCAACGGUAGCGCGUCAGAUUCCAGCUCACCUUUAAAGAGUGUAUCCUGAAGGUUAUCUGUUCGAAUCAGGUCGAGAUCA